Molecule: ribosomal RNA, 255 nt
Filed under: uncultured bacterium
Lineage: Bacteria
Description: partial 16S ribosomal RNA
Rfam family: Bacterial small subunit ribosomal RNA
Source: RNAcentral
UACAGAGGGUGCAAGCGUUUGUUCGGAAUUAUUGGGCGUAAAGCGCACGUAGGCGGCCUGAUAAGUCGGGUGUGAAAGCCCUGGGCUCAACCCAGGAAGUGCACUCGAAACUGUCAGGCUUGAAUAUGGAAGAGGGUCGCGGAAUUCCCGGUGUAGAGGUGAAAUUCGUAGAUAUCGGGAGGAACACCAGUGGCGAAGGCGGCGACCUGGGCCAAUAUUGACGCUGAGGUGGCGAAAGCGUGGGGAGCAAACAGG